This is a long non-coding RNA of Melopsittacus undulatus (budgerigar), 2233 nucleotides long. RefSeq lists it as uncharacterized. The record is from RefSeq and is a predicted model, not a curated record. Lineage: Eukaryota; Metazoa; Chordata; Aves; Psittaciformes; Psittaculidae. The transcript has 3 exons.
GAGGCUCUCUGCCCGCUCUCCACGCUGCUCCCCUUACGACCCCUCUCCUCCCGCCACCCUCGGUGCGAGGACAAGGUACAGUGUAGAGGGGACCGCGACGUCCCUGUGUUGCGACAGAAGAGCGUGAAGCACUCAAGUCGGGCACAGGGGUAAGGCUGGCAGUGUCCGCCCAGAUGGAUGAAUACUCCCAUCGCGGACCCUCUGCCCAUGGGCUAGUCCGUGGGUACCACCGCGCCGAAGCUGCUGCUGCUUGAACCCGCUGCUGGGCUGCAGCUCCAGAUCCGUACGCCCGCAAAUGGCCAAGAAAGUUUCAGGAAGACCGGGCAACAUUUCCACGCACGGAACCUGCGUGGGGAAGGGCUGUACGCCGUGGCCAGAGUGUCGGCCCAGGCUCUAGGGAGGUUCGUAGGGUGAAUGGUCACCACUUGGCCCACAAUUUCCAGAGGACAGCACGACCACCAACUCGCAAGUCCUCACGGAGUCCCGUACAGCUUUGCAGUGGUUAUGCAGCCUGGGAAGAACAAUCAGAACAGCAGCCAAGGAAGAAGUCUUAGAAAAAAAAGAGGAGAGUUGAGUGGCUACCUACUAGUCCCUGACUGCAAGAUGACUCGUUCCUGUCUGGGGAUGUGAGGGAGAAAAUUGCUCUUCCUGCAGAUUUUCUGGGCAGUCUUGGAUGUUCCAGAAAUGGCAGCUAAAUACCUCUCGAGAACAAGGAGCUACUGAAAACUCACCAGGUGCUUCAGGAUGAGCUUUUCUGCCCAAGGUUAGAAAAGGCACUUCUGCCUCUGCAUGAGUGUUUCUGCUGGAAAGGAGUCCCUCCACUUUGUGGGUGCUCUGUGAGUAUAGGCAUAGGUGGUUAAAAAACAAGGAUCAGAAAGUUCAUGAUUGCCUGGCCUCAUCCUUACCACAGCUUCUGGGAUUCUGUUUGCAUCUGCUUUGCAUCAUCCUCACAAUAGACUUCUCGCUGUCCUCAGUAGGCUAUAUAAAUACUUCCCUUGGCAUGGACAUUGCACAGAACUAUUCUCAUUUUCUGAAAUAAUUAGAAUAGUUAAAUCUUACUGUGAAACACAUAGGCUAGAUUUUUUCUUUUCAUCACUUAAGUGUGUAUUUUCGAUAGUAAUCAUUGCUAGACAUGUUUUUUUUCAUAAUUAAAGUUAUAUUUUCCAUCUAUUAUUUCAAAUAACUGCCUAUGGGAACUUGACAGGUGUGUAUCAUCAUCUCGUAAUGAGCAGAAGCCCAAUAGUAAUAAUAGCUAUGAAACACUGAGAUCUUUUACUUCUUCAGCAUCAUAAAGGCUUCUGAUGGACUGUUGUCUAGUAUUGGGCUUCAAGAAAGCUAUGGAGUCAUUGGACAGAAUGCAGCAAGACUGAUCAGAGGUAUGCAAAAUGUGAUUUACAAGAACAGAUUGAAAGCAGUGGUUUUACUUAAUCUGGAGUACAGAAGACUUUUAAGGCAAACUGGUCUUUAAAGGUAUAAAAGGUAAAUGCAAAGAUGAGGGGAUUAAACUGUGAGGGUAGACAAGAGGUAAUGAAUUUAAGAUGUGAAUUCAAGAUAAAUGCUGGAAAAAAAGAAGCUGCAAAUAGUGAGGAUUGGUAUGCAUAGCCUCCCUUUCCCUGGGGAGGCUGUCAGAACACUGAGGGAUGUUAAGAAGAAGUGAGACUGAUUUGGCAAGAGUGAUAAAGCCCUAGGACAGGAGUUUUCUCCUGACUGGCUUUGUAUGGUUCUAUGACAUGGGAAGAACCCACUUUAACUUAGUUCUUCAUGCGAUCCUUUUGCUUUUCAUUAGACAUACUGCUGGUUCACAGUUCAUGUCUUGGCUGCUCUUCUCCUACCCAUGCAAGAGACCUGCAUCACUGCUGCCUCAUUGCCUUAAUGCUCAUGUAUGAGUGUGUUUUCCACUGAAAUGCUGAAGUUAGACAUUUUCUCCUCAUUUUCUUUUUUUUUGACUUUAUAUCUGAUUUAGUUGGCACUGUGCUCCUCUUUCUUAAUACAAUUUUAUCACUGUGAGAAAUCCUGUUCCUGACACAGCUUUGCUUUUUUUGUACUCCCUCUAUUACCUUUCUAUUUUGUUUCAAAUCUCUGCUGAAAACGUUUUCUGCCUAAGUUUCUCUUUCAACAUGUUCCCUAGAUCUAUAAUUAGAAUAUUUAAUUUUAUAAUUAACUGAAUCAUAGAAUCAUAGAAUAGUUAGGGUUGGAAAGGACCUUAAGAUCGUCUAGUUCCAACCCCCCUGCU